Molecule: ribosomal RNA, 502 nt
Filed under: uncultured bacterium
Lineage: Bacteria
Description: partial 16S ribosomal RNA
Rfam family: Bacterial small subunit ribosomal RNA
Source: RNAcentral
AUUGAACGCUGGCGGCAUGCCCUACACAUGCAAGUCGAACGGCAGCACGGGUGCUUGCACCUGGUGGCGAGUGGCGAACGGGUGAGUAAUAUAUCGGAACAUACCCUAGAGUGGGGGAUAACGUAGCGAAAGUUACGCUAAUACCGCAUACGAACUAAGGUUGAAAGGGGGGGAUCGCAAGACCUCAUGCUCAUGGAGUGGCCGAUCUCUGAUUAGCUAGUUGGUGAGGUAAAGGAUCACCAAGGCGACGAUCAGUAGCUGGUUUGAGAGAACGACCAGCCACACGGGAACUGAGACACGGUCCAGACUCCUACGGGAGGCAGCAGUGGUGAAUUUUGGACAAUGGGGGCAAGUCUGAUCCAGCCAUUCCACGUGCAGGAUGAAGGCCCUCGGGUUGUAAACUGCUUUUGUACGAAACGAAAAGGUCUCUCUUAAUACGGGGGGCUCAUGACGGUACCGUAAGAAUAAGCACCGGCUAACUACGUGCCAGCCGCCGCAGUAA